CUUCAACUGCAGCAACACUCGCUGGUACUCAAACCUGGCUGGAGGAUUUAUUUAUGUUAAAGCAGGUCAAAAAUUAAAAAAUCGCCUCUCUAUCAUUCUACUGGGAAAAAAAAAAGAAUUACGGACAUUUGAAAACUCCAGUAAAGAAACAACACGUGAGUUAUUUGAUCAUGAAUGUGAGGAAGCAGCUGUGGUCUCUGGCGCGCAUGGUGGUGCCCGGGGCGGGAUUUGCGAUCACCUGCAUCGGGGCCUACGUUGUGUCCCUUCAGACGGACCACAGGUACACUUUGAGGGUCGUCUCUGCCUAUGGCACGGUGGUGUUCGGCAUCCUGCUUGUGCUCACCGGAGUCUUCUGGAACAUUUGCCACAGCAUGAAGAGCAAGAUGUACCAGAGCGGAGGACGCGAGCAGCACCUGCAGAUCUACACUGUUGACAGAAGCUCCUUCCCUCCGUCGUACGAGGAGUCCCAGGCCAGCCAGCCGAGUCCCGAUGCGGCGCCCGAGUUUGAGGUGGCGGUGGUGGUGGACGGGGCGCAUGUGGCGCUGGGCCUCGCUCCUCCUCUCUACAGCCAAGACGCCUCGGAGGCCCCGGACUGCACGUGGAGCUGGGAGCAGCCUCCUCGCUACUGUCAGGUGGAGCGCGUUCAGCAGGGAAACGUGGAUGCGUGAGGCGCAGACGGGGGAGUUGUCACGACGCCGGAGGGAGGAAACGUUUUGCCGAAGUGGCUUGAAGGGAAAGCUGACUGGCGAUGGUUGAUGGGAAUGUGCUGGACAGGACGCUCCAGAAGAACGGGAGGUGCCUUUUGAAUAUGGUACGAAAGAUGGACCAGAUGUGCUGACAUCAGUCUUCACCCUAAACUCUUCGGGCGGACCCUGCAGUACAUUAAGGGCUCUUGAAAGAGGUGAAUUCUUGUGGUGUUGUGCUGAUGUUGGUCGAAUGCUUUUUUGUCUCAGGCCUCGAGCCUGAAAUUGCUGCUUAGUAAAUAACCGAGGAAAGUAUUAAUCCAGCUGGAUCCAUUGACGGUCAGAAAUUACCUUUAUCUGCACUGUAGCAACAAUUUGUACACUAUUAAACUAUUGCAAGUGUAAUACAGCUGCUUGCAUUGGAGUUAAGGGAGCUACCUCUAUUCUGGGGUUAUUUGUAUUAUGUAAAUAAAAAUAGGAAGUUGUUGAGUUUGUGUUCAAUAUGUUUCUUUCCCACUAAAACAUAAAUGCAAACGUUUGAUAAUGAUUGCUAUAAAUUACAUGUUUUAAAUGGAAUUCUUCUUAAC
Long non-coding RNA from Gasterosteus aculeatus aculeatus (three-spined stickleback), 1270 nucleotides. The record is from Ensembl. Lineage: Eukaryota; Metazoa; Chordata; Actinopteri; Perciformes; Gasterosteidae.